AUCAACUUUCGAUGGUAGGAUAGAGGCCUACCAUGGUGGUAACGGGUAACGGGGUGUUAGGGCACGACACCGGAGAGGGAGCCUGAGAAACGGCUACCACAUCCAAGGAUGGCAGCAGGCGCGCAAAUUACCCAAUCCCGACACGGGGAGGUAGUGACAAUAAAUAACAAUACGGGGUCCUUACGGGUCUCGUAAUUGGAAUGAGUACAAUUUAAAUCUCUUAACGAGGAACAAUUGGAGGGCAAGUCUGGUGCCAGCAGCCGCGGUAAUUCCAGCUCCAAUAGCGUAUAUUAAAGUUGUUGCAGUUAAAAAGCUCGUAGUUGAAUUUCGGGAUUGACACAUCGGCCGUGCCUUAAGGGGUAUGAACUGGUGUAGUCAAUUUCUCACCUUCUGGAGAACCGCGAUGCCCUUAAUUGGGUGUCGCGGGGAACCAGGACCUUUACUUUGAAAAAAUUAGAGUGUUUAAAGCAGGCAUUUUGCUUGAAUACAUUAGCAUGGAAUAAUAAAAUAGGACGGCAUGAUUCUAUUUUGUUGGUUUCUAGGAUCACCGUAAUGAUUAAUAGGGAUAGUUGGGGGCAUUAGUAUUCAAUUGUCAGAGGUGAAAUUCUUGGAUUUAUUGAAGACUAACUACUGCGAAAGCAUUUGCCAAGGAUGUUUUCAUUAAUCAAGAACGAAAGUUAGGGGAUCGAAGACGAUCAGAUACCGUCGUAGUCUUAACCAUAAACUAUGCCGACUAGGAAUCAGACGAUGUUAAUUUUUUAAUGACUCGUUUGGCACCUUACGGGAAACCAAAGUGUUUGGGUCC
RNAcentral lists this ribosomal RNA (805 nucleotides) under uncultured Glomeromycotina. RNAcentral describes it as "SSU rRNA". It matches the Rfam family "Eukaryotic small subunit ribosomal RNA", at positions 314 to 1114 of the family's 1831-position model. Lineage: Eukaryota; Fungi; Glomeromycota. The record is from RNAcentral.